RNAcentral lists this long non-coding RNA (1213 nucleotides) under Coturnix japonica (Japanese quail). Its description in RNAcentral is "lncRNA (ENSCJPG00005004350.1)". The record is from RNAcentral. Lineage: Eukaryota; Metazoa; Chordata; Aves; Galliformes; Phasianidae.
UCUCCAGAAAUCCUUUCAAGACUUCUUCUGCAAGUGACUUGCGACCAAAGAAGUACCAAAGAAGAUAAAAGCCCCUGGUGAAUUGAGCUGCCGCCACACAGGGUAUCUCAUCAUGUACUGUGUACCAGAGGUACCUGAACUGUUGCCCAUGGAUAGCAGGUAGACGUAAAGACCUACAGAAGACCUUUGUACUUUGCGUCUUUCAUCUGAAGGCCAGAUGGGAUUGUUUAAGCACUGGACACCUGUGUUUAGUUUGUUGCAGUCCAGUGACACGUUUCACUUGCUCAGAGCUUUUCUCUAGAACACUCACGACCAUGUUAAAACAGUUGGAAGGCUGACUUUUCACAGCAGUAUCUAUGCACCACCCACAGCACUGAACCUUUCUUCCUAAUUCUUGUUUAAGUUACGAAGAAGCAAAGAAACAUUUUGCAGUGGAGCGAUGCCAGCUUUCACCACCUGGAUUUGUGUGUUUAAUAUUAAUUAAACUAAGGUAAAUAACACACCGAGAAAAUGAAUACUGAGAAAUUCACCUACCGAUUGUUUCUGGGAUUCCAGUAUACAAUUAUGUAUCAGUUCUUGUUCUACUAAGGGAUCGAUACUAAAAAAUGAUUCUAAGUUAUUUGCCAUCUUUCUAAUGAAAUAUUCCAGUAAAACUGUGGCAGUAUUGUCUUGAUCUUGGACUGAGCUCUCUGUGGCAAAAGCAUGGGUUUAAUUUGAGGGCAAUCAGAUGCUAAUUUUUACGACACAUCUUGUUUAUCUAUGGUAAUUUACUGCAAAAGAAAUUUCAACGGUAGAACGCAAGCAGGAAAAACAAAGCAGUCUGGCUCAAAUUUCCUUCACACUCUUUGAAUAGGGGCUGUACUGAGCAUGUAAAUCAGAUCAGUGGCCUUAAAGAAGCGUUGAGGUCUCUAAAAGGCUCUAAAUGGAGGUAUGUCUUACUAUCCUUGCAUCAUUCCCACAGUCCCACUGGCUAAUGGGACUGAAUUUGGUCUCUUCCUCUGCUCUGUAAUCUAGCUAUAGUCUUGUUCUCUUCCUUUGUGUAUAAUGUGAGGGGACAGAGACACGUUUGUCCUUCUGUUCAAAGCUUCCCCCUUUAUUUUAGCCUCACAACAAUGCCAAGCAAGAAGAGGGCUAUUUGCAACUUAACGAUUCAAAAGGUAACCUGGCAUUGGGGUGAAUGUGGGCACUGCUGCUCUUUUAAAAAACAAGGAGU